This 255-nucleotide unclassified non-coding RNA is filed under the name uncultured fungus. RNAcentral describes it as "sequence contains ITS1". The stretch from base 1 to 117 matches the Rfam family "5.8S ribosomal RNA", at positions 49 to 154 of the family's 154-position model. Lineage: Eukaryota; Fungi. The record is from RNAcentral.
UGAAAGGCGAAACGUAAUGUGAAUCGCAACUAACAGUGAAUCAUCGAAUCUUUGAACGCAGGCCGCACCUUGCACUAUCACUCUGUGUUAUUGCAAGGUAUCUACGUAUGAGUGUCAGCCCAAUAUCCUUUUGGUUUAAGAGAUGAUUUAUUUGGAAUAUUAUAUAUUCUUUGAAUAUUUCACUCUUGAAUACAUAUAUAUAUUACUUUUAUAUAUGUCUGGCCUCAUAUGUGGAAGGUUACCCGCUGGAUUUAA